RNAcentral lists this ribosomal RNA (462 nucleotides) under Salmonella enterica subsp. enterica serovar Infantis. RNAcentral describes it as "partial 23S ribosomal RNA". It matches the Rfam family "Bacterial large subunit ribosomal RNA", at positions 58 to 559 of the family's 2925-position model. RNAcentral also lists the same sequence under 3 other names. Lineage: Bacteria; Pseudomonadati; Pseudomonadota; Gammaproteobacteria; Enterobacterales; Enterobacteriaceae. The record is from RNAcentral.
GUGCUAAUCUGCGAUAAGCGCCGGUAAGGUGAUAUGAACCGUUAUAACCGGCGAUACCCGAAUGGGGAAACCCAGUGUGAUUCGUCACACUAUCAUUAACUGAAUCCAUAGGUUAAUGAGGCGAACCGGGGGAACUGAAACAUCUAAGUACCCCGAGGAAAAGAAAUCAACCGAGAUUCCCCCAGUAGCGGCGAGCGAACGGGGAGGAGCCCAGAGCCUGAAUCAGCAUGUGUGUUAGUGGAAGCGUCUGGAAAGGCGCGCGAUACAGGGUGACAGCCCCGUACACAAAAGCGCAUGUGCUGUGAGCUCGAUGAGUAGGGCGGGACACGUGGUAUCCUGUCUGAAUAUGGGGGGACCAUCCUCCAAGGCUAAAUACUCCUGACUGACCGAUAGUGAACCAGUACCGUGAGGGAAAGGCGAAAAGAACCCCGGCGAGGGGAGUGAAAAAGAACCUGAAACCGU